ACCGCGGUGCUCCAGGGGUGUGUGGGAAGGGCAGGACAAGGAGCCCAGGAAUAACGUCCAGUCCGAGGGCCCAGGGGCUCAGCGUGCCGGCUCUUCCUGGUGUGUGCUGGGCACUUGCCCUGGCCCUCAGACAAAACAACUGCAGCAGGCCGAAGUUGUCUUUGCUGUUGCCUCCAUUACAGAGGUGUGAUCACCGGACAGUGUGCUGAACAGCUGUACGAACCAGAUGGAAUUGCUCACGUCAACCCCGACAAGGAAUUGAGUCCAGGGCCUUGGCGCAGAGCUGCAUCCUGACCUCUUUGAGGCAGGGCCUGGCUAUGUCAAAUUCCCCAGGCUGGGCUCGAAUGUGAGAUUCUCCUGCCUCAGCCUCCCAGAACCCUAGAAUUACAGGUGUGCAUCACACUUGACUUUGGUUUUCUGCGGUGCUGAGAUCAGAUUCAGGGUUGUGCACAUGCUAAACAAGUG
Molecule: long non-coding RNA, 465 nt
Filed under: Heterocephalus glaber (naked mole-rat)
Lineage: Eukaryota; Metazoa; Chordata; Mammalia; Rodentia; Bathyergidae
Description: lncRNA (ENSHGLG00000035241.1)
Source: RNAcentral